CCUAACUGGCAUACUAUGGACAGCAGAAGCCUUAAAGAUUCAAGUCUGGCCACAAGAACAAAGGUCUCUUCAAAGUCUACUCCUUCAAUUUGAGUGUACCCUUGUGCUACAAGUUUUGCCUUGUUCCUGACAAUGUUACCAUGCUUAUCCAUUUUUUUUCAUAUCUAUUUGGUUCCAAUAACAUUUACGUCUGUUGGUCUUGGGACUAGCUUGAGAACAUUGUUUUGCUCAAAUUGAGCCAAUUCUUCCUACACGGCUAACGCCCAUGUUUAAUCAUUUAAAGCUUCAGUCACUUUUUUAUUUCAACGGGAGAUGUGUAGUGCAUAUUUUCCAGUUCUAUGGCAAGUUUUCUUCUGGUCACUAUCCCGUUUCCUCGAUUAGAGAGUACAUUAACAAAAGAGCGUGCUUUCUGAAUCUAUGCAGGUGGCUAUCUUCUUUUUUGUUGUUCACUAUCCUUUUCUUCCAGUGAGUUUGCUAUCGUAGUGUUCAGUUCAUAUUCUACAAAUCUGGUUGUAGAUAGUUCCAGCUGACUGUUAAUUUCAGGCUCUGCUGUACCAUUUUCCUGAAUGUUCUGAGGAAUUUCAGUGAGUUCUUCCAAGCUACUCAUCUCAAGUUCCUGCAAAUAAUAUGUGUAAUCAUUAGUAUCAUCAAUUUUAACAUUAAUAGAUUCAAUAACUGUUUGAGUCCUCA
This 690-nucleotide long non-coding RNA is filed under the name Olea europaea subsp. europaea. The record is from RNAcentral. Lineage: Eukaryota; Viridiplantae; Streptophyta; Magnoliopsida; Lamiales; Oleaceae.